RNAcentral lists this ribosomal RNA (379 nucleotides) under uncultured bacterium. RNAcentral describes it as "bacterial SSU rRNA". It matches the Rfam family "Bacterial small subunit ribosomal RNA", at positions 32 to 389 of the family's 1533-position model. The record is from RNAcentral.
AAUCAACGCUGGCGGCGUGCCUCAGACAUGCAAGUCGAACGCGAAAUUUCCCUUCGGGGAGAAAGUAGAGUGGCGCACGGGUGAGUAACACGUAGGUAAUUUGCCUUCGGGUGGGGAAGUAACAGCCGGAAACGGCUGCUAAUACCGCAUAAUGCAGCGGCUCGACAUCGAGACAGUUGUUAAAGCGGGGGAUCGCAAGACCUCGCGCCUGAAGAGAAGCCUGCGGCAGAUUAGCUAGUUGGUAGGGUAAUGGCCUACCAAGGCAACGAUCUGUAACCGGCCUGAGAGGGCGGUCGGUCACACUGACACUGACAUACGGGUCAGACUCCUACGGGAGGCAGCAGUCGGGAAUUUUGGGCAAUGGGCGAAAGCCUGACCC